RNAcentral lists this long non-coding RNA (1039 nucleotides) under Zonotrichia albicollis (white-throated sparrow). Its description in RNAcentral is "lncRNA (ENSZALG00000001138.1)". Lineage: Eukaryota; Metazoa; Chordata; Aves; Passeriformes; Passerellidae. The record is from RNAcentral.
UGCCACCAGGUCCCUGACACCUCCCCUGUCCCCUCCCCAGCUGUCCCCAGCCCUGCUGCAGCCACAGAUCACCGUGGUGGCCACCCUGGGCGAGCUGCUGGCCACCCUGCCCAGGAGGGACGAGAUGCUGCUGCCCGUGUCCGCAGGGCGCCUGUACUGGGACCUGGCAGACUUCACCAGUGACCUCCGAGUCACCCUGUACUGUGUUGAUGACUCCUGGUGGCAUCACAAUGUCACCUCCAAUGAUAAGGAGCCUGACACCCCCCUAAGCCAGGCCCUGGAAGCCUGGAGGAGAACCACAUGUACCACCUGGAAUGAUGUGACAGUGGUGGCCAGUGAGUGGCAGGGGAUGGUGUCUGUGCUUGUGGACAGGUGGACCCAGCUGGCCAGGGCAGCCACCAAGCUCCACAACACCUGCAGAGACGUGGCCAUUGAGGCAGCUGACAGGGUGGGCACCGCCAGGGAGCAGCAGGACAGGACUGCCAUUUUUGUGCCAGCUCAGGAAAACAUGGGAGAGCUGGGUCAGGCCCUGGGCAAGGAGGAGGAGGCUGAGGAGGAGGACACAUAUAAAGCCCAGAAGAGGAGAGAGGCCAGGGUGGCUGCCAGCGAGGCAACAAGGGCCGCCAUGGUGAGACAGCGGGUAGAGGUGGCCCUGGGGCUGCUGGAGCGCUUGGCGGUCACGUGUGACAAAGCCACCAUGUUCCCCCAAGAGCUGCAGCGCAGGGUUUGGAAAAUCAAGACCACCCUGAAGGGGACAAAUGAGGCGUCCCCCAAUGUCCCUGAGGACUUGGUGGCCAAGGUGGCAGUGGCCCAGCGGCUGUGGGAGGCCAACGCCCGCCUGGCCAAGGAUCACCUGCUGGGGGCAGUUCCAGACACCAUCAAGUUCUUGUUCAAUGGUGGUCCCAACAGCCCCUGUGAGGUGGCCGAGCGGUGCCAAAGAGCCAUCGAGGACAUCUCAAGGCUCCUUCGACCCCCGGAGCAUUCCCAGAGUUUCCCCAAGGUGUCCCCAGUGAGUAUGGAGCCCAAGAGGUUCAACGGG